AUUGAACGCUGGCGGCAUGCCUUACACAUGCAAGUCGAACGGUAACGGGCCUUCCGUUGCCGACGAGUGGCGGACGGGUGAGUAAUACAUCGGAACGUGCACGAUCGUUGGGGAUAACGAGGCGCAAGCUUUGCUAAUACCUCAUACGAGCUACGGUUGAAAGCCGGGGACCGCAAUGCCUUGCGCGGACGGUGCGGCCGAUGGUAGAUUAGGUAGUUGGUGGGAUACAAGCUUACCAAGCCGAGGAUCUGUAGCUGGUCGGUGGGGAGGAUCAGCCACACUGGGACUGGGAAACGGCCCAGACUCCUACGGGAGGCAGCGGUGGGGAAUUUUGGAAAAUGGGCGCAAGCCUGAUCAAGCCAUGCGGGGUGCAGGAUGAAGGCCUUCGGGUGGUAAACUGCUUUUGUACGGAACGAAAGGCGUUCUUUAAUACAGGAGGGUCAUGACGGUACCGUAAGAAUAAGCACCGGCUAACUACGUG
RNAcentral lists this ribosomal RNA (481 nucleotides) under uncultured bacterium. Its description in RNAcentral is "partial 16S ribosomal RNA". It matches the Rfam family "Bacterial small subunit ribosomal RNA", at positions 30 to 507 of the family's 1533-position model. The record is from RNAcentral.